Molecule: ribosomal RNA, 486 nt
Filed under: uncultured bacterium
Lineage: Bacteria
Description: partial 16S ribosomal RNA
Rfam family: Bacterial small subunit ribosomal RNA
Source: RNAcentral
GAUGAACGCUGGCGGCGUGCCUAAUACAUGCAAGUCGAACGCUGGAAAUCUAGCUUGCUAGAUUGAAGGAGUGGCGAACGGGUGAGUAAUACAUAAGCAACCUACCCACGAAGACUGGGAUAAUCUCUGGAAACGGGGACUAAUACCGGAUAGGUAAUCGGAAGGCAUCUUCUGAUUAUUAAAGGUUAAAAACACUGGUGGAUGGGCUUAUGGCGCAUUAGUUAGUUGGUGAGGUAACGGCCCACCAAGACGAUGAUGCGUAGCCGGCCUGAGAGGGUGAACGGCCACAUUGGGACUGAGACACGGCCCAGACUCCUACGGGAGGCAGCAGUAGGGAAUUUUCGGCAAAGGGGGAAACCCUGACCGAGCAACGCCGCGUGAGUGAUGACGGCCUUCGGGUUGUAAAGCUCUGUUGUAAGGGAAGAACGGUAGAUAGAGAAUAUCUAAAUGACGGUACCUUACCAGAAAGCCACGGCUAACUACGUG